This 139-nucleotide small nucleolar RNA is filed under the name Sorex araneus (European shrew). RNAcentral describes it as "Small nucleolar RNA SNORA9 (ENSSARG00000020150.1)". Lineage: Eukaryota; Metazoa; Chordata; Mammalia; Eulipotyphla; Soricidae. The record is from RNAcentral.
AAAAAAGCUAAAAUAACACUGUUUGCUUAGGUUUGAGGAGACCCUGCAAAAUUCCUAUAGUGCUUGUGUGAAUAUUAUAAAAUGGCUUGAGACCUUUCCCGGAUUCAUACUGAGUAAGUUCUAAAUAUUUCAGACAAUU